This 1372-nucleotide ribosomal RNA is filed under the name uncultured bacterium. RNAcentral's name for it is "bacterial SSU rRNA". It matches the Rfam family "Bacterial small subunit ribosomal RNA", at positions 28 to 1381 of the family's 1533-position model. The record is from RNAcentral.
GAUGAACGCUGGCGGCGUGCCUAAUACAUGCAAGUCGAGCGAACGGACGAGAAGCUUGCUUCUCUGAUGUUAGCGGCGGACGGGUGAGUAACACGUGGAUAACCUACCUAUAAGACUGGGAUAACUUCGGGAAACCGGAGCUAAUACCGGAUAAUAUUUUGAACCGCAUGGUUCAAAAGUGAAAGACGGUCUUGCUGUCACUUAUAGAUGGAUCCGCGCUGCAUUAGCUAGUUGGUAAGGUAACGGCUUACCAAGGCAACGAUGCAUAGCCGACCUGAGAGGGUGAUCGGCCACACUGGAACUGAGACACGGUCCAGACUCCUACGGGAGGCAGCAGUAGGGAAUCUUCCGCAAUGGGCGAAAGCCUGACGGAGCAACGCCGCGUGAGUGAUGAAGGUCUUCGGAUCGUAAAACUCUGUUAUUAGGGAAGAACAUAUGUGUAAGUAACUGUGCACAUCUUGACGGUACCUAAUCAGAAAGCCACGGCUAACUACGUGCCAGCAGCCGCGGUAAUACGUAGGUGGCAAGCGUUAUCCGGAAUUAUUGGGCGUAAAGCGCGCGUAGGCGGUUUUUUAAGUCUGAUGUGAAAGCCCACGGCUCAACCGUGGAGGGCCAUUGGAAACUGGAAAACUUGAGUGCAGAAGAGGAAAGUGGAAUUCCAUGUGUAGCGGUGAAAUGCGCAGAGAUAUGGAGGAACACCAGUGGCGAAGGCGACUUUCUGGUCUGUAACUGACGCUGAUGUGCGAAAGCGUGGGGAUCAAACAGGAUUAGAUACCCUGGUAGUCCACGCCGUAAACGAUGAGUGCUAAGUGUUAGGGGGUUUCCGCCCCUUAGUGCUGCAGCUAACGCAUUAAGCACUCCGCCUGGGGAGUACGACCGCAAGGUUGAAACUCAAAGGAAUUGACGGGGACCCGCACAAGCGGUGGAGCAUGUGGUUUAAUUCGAAGCAACGCGAAGAACCUUACCAAAUCUUGACAUCCUUUGACAACUCUAGAGAUAGAGCCUUCCCCUUCGGGGGACAAAGUGACAGGUGGUGCAUGGUUGUCGUCAGCUCGUGUCGUGAGAUGUUGGGUCAAGUCCCGCAACGAGCGCAACCCUUAAGCUUAGUUGCCAUCAUUAAGUUGGGCACUCUAAGUUGACUGCCGGUGACAAACCGGAGGAAGGUGGGGAUGACGUCAAAUCAUCAUGCCCCUUAUGAUUUGGGCUACACACGUGCUACAAUGGACAAUACAAAGGGCAGCGAAACCGCGAGGUCAAGCAAAUCCCAUAAAGUUGUUCUCAGUUCGGAUUGUAGUCUGCAACUCGACUACAUGAAGCUGGAAUCGCUAGUAAUCGUAGAUCAGCAUGCUACGGUGAAUACGUUCCCGGGUCU